GACGAACGCUGGCGGCGUGCUUAACACAUGCAAGUCGAACGGAAAGGCCCUGCUUUUGUGGGGUGCUCGAGUGGCGAACGGGUGAGUAACACGUGAGUAACCUGCCCUUGACUUUGGGAUAACUUCAGGAAACUGGGGCUAAUACCGGAUAGGAGCUCCUGCUGCAUGGUGGGGGUUGGAAAGUUUCGGCGGUUGGGGAUGGACUCGCGGCUUAUCAGCUUGUUGGUGGGGUAGUGGCUUACCAGGGCUUUGACGGGUAGCCGGCCUGAGAGGGUGACCGGCCACAUUGGGACUGAGAUACGGCCCAGACUCCUACGGGAGGCAGCAGUGGGGAAUAUUGCACAAUGGACGGAAGCCUGAUGCAGCAACGCCGCGUGCGGGAUGACGGCCUUCGGGUUGUAAACCGCUUUCGCCUGUGACGAAGCGUGAGUGACGGUAAUGGGUAAAGAAGCACCGGCUAACUACGUG
RNAcentral lists this ribosomal RNA (468 nucleotides) under uncultured bacterium. RNAcentral describes it as "partial 16S ribosomal RNA". It matches the Rfam family "Bacterial small subunit ribosomal RNA", at positions 28 to 507 of the family's 1533-position model. The record is from RNAcentral.